This 400-nucleotide ribosomal RNA is filed under the name uncultured bacterium. RNAcentral's name for it is "bacterial SSU rRNA". It matches the Rfam family "Bacterial small subunit ribosomal RNA", at positions 356 to 773 of the family's 1533-position model. The record is from RNAcentral.
GGGGAAUAUUGCGCAAUGGGGGCAACCCUGACGCAGCGACGCCGCGUGCGGGACGGAGGCCCUCGGGUCGUAAACCGCUUUCAGCGGGGAAGAACCUUGACGGUACCCGCAGAAGAAGCCCCGGCUAACUACGUGCCAGCAGCCGCGGUAACACGUAGGGGGCGAGCGUUAUCCGGAUUCAUUGGGCGUAAAGCGCGCGUAGGCGGCCCGGCCAGUCGGGGGUCAAAUGGCGGGGCCCGGCCCCGCCCCGCCCCCGAUACCGCCGGGCUCGAGUCGCGCAGGGGAAGUCGGAACUCCCGGUGUAGCGGUGGAAUGCGCAGAUAUCGGGAGGAACACCGGUGGCGAAGGCGGGCUUCCGGGCGCGCACUGACGCUGAGGCGCGAGAGCCGGGGGAGCGAAC